UUUAGAACGUCGUGAGACAGUUCGGUCCCUAUCUACCGUGGGCGCUGGAAAUUUGAGAGGAUCUGCUCCUAGUACGAGAGGACCAGAGUGGACGAACCUCUGGUGUACCGGUUGUGACGCCAGUCGCAUCGCCGGGUAGCUAUGUUCGGAAGGGAUAACCGCUGAAAGCAUCUAAGCGGGAAGCCUACCUCAAGAUAAGAUUUCCCUAGGACUUUAUGUCCUCUAAAGAGCCGUUCGAGACUAGGACGUUGAUAGGUUGGAUGUGGAAGCAUAGUGAUAUGUGAAGCUGACCAAUACUAAUUGCUCGUGAGGCUUGACUAUACAACACCCAAGCAGUUG
Molecule: ribosomal RNA, 339 nt
Filed under: Acinetobacter baumannii
Lineage: Bacteria; Pseudomonadati; Pseudomonadota; Gammaproteobacteria; Moraxellales; Moraxellaceae
Description: bacterial LSU rRNA
Rfam family: Bacterial large subunit ribosomal RNA
Source: RNAcentral